ACGGGAGGCAGCAGUGGGGGAUAUUGCACAAUGGGGGAACCCUGAUGCAGCGACGCCGCGUGAGUGAUGAAGUAUUUCGGUAUGUAAAGCUCUAUCAGCAGGGAAGAUAAUGACGGUACCUGACUAAGAAGCACCGGCUAAAUACGUGCCAGCAGCCGCGGUAAUACGUAUGGUGCAAGCGUUAUCCGGAUUUACUGGGUGUAAAGGGAGCGUAGACGGCAUGGCAAGCCAGAUGUGAAAGGCAGGGGCUCAACCCCUGGACUGCAUUUGGAACUGUCAAGCUAGAGUAUCGGAGAGGUAAGUGGAAUUCCUAGUGCAGCGGUGAAAUGCGUAGAUAUUAGGAGGAACACCAGUGGCGAAGGCGGCUUACUGGACGAUAACUGACGUUGAGGCUCGAAAGCGUGGGGAGCAGACAGGAUUAGAUACCCUGGUA
RNAcentral lists this ribosomal RNA (433 nucleotides) under uncultured Clostridium sp. Its description in RNAcentral is "partial 16S ribosomal RNA". It matches the Rfam family "Bacterial small subunit ribosomal RNA", at positions 341 to 792 of the family's 1533-position model. The record is from RNAcentral. Lineage: Bacteria; Bacillati; Bacillota; Clostridia; Eubacteriales; Clostridiaceae.